RNAcentral lists this long non-coding RNA (1167 nucleotides) under Taeniopygia guttata (zebra finch). RNAcentral describes it as "lncRNA (ENSTGUG00000024094.1)". Lineage: Eukaryota; Metazoa; Chordata; Aves; Passeriformes; Estrildidae. The record is from RNAcentral.
CUGGUCCGGGGAAACCGCGGCGGGGGGAUUACCCCCCCCGGUUCCCGCCCCAACGGGGGGCUCAGUUCAGGCUCCCCGGCCCGUCGGGCCCCGCACUGGGGACUUCACACCCACCCACAACCGGACCGGGCAGGGGAUGACCGGGACAGUUUUGUCCCAGCCGAGACCGGGGCAGCGCCAGCCCCGCGAGUCCGUGUUCUGGCCGUGGGCACGACAAGCCGGCUCCCGCCAGCGUCCGAGCACCCCCUGCCCUUCCUUCUAUCUCCCGUUCCUCAAUCACUCCAACCCCCGGUCCAUCCCUACCUCCGACACCCGGUACCGGCCCAGACUGCUCGCUCCGGGGCAGCGGGAGCCGUGCGGGGCCGUGCCGCUCCCACGCGGGUUGUAGACACCGUGGGUGUCCACGGGCACGUUCACGGGGUGCCUCCGGGACAGCCCGGGACAACCUGGGCUCGAGCGGCUGGAAGAGGCUGUAGCCCCGUCCCGCUGGGCACGGACCGGCACCGGAGAGGGCUCCGUGGGCUGCGGAGGGGCGCCCGGCAGCCCGGACGGUUCACGUCCCCGGGGACCGCACGUCGCGUCCCCCGGAAAGCCGGUGGCCCCAGGCCGGUGUCCCCGGGCUUUCCCGGGACUGUGGUCCCCGUGCGCCCCGGGUUGUCACGGAGCUCUGCCUCCCCCGUGCGCUCGGGACUGCCCCGGGAGAUCCCGUCACUCCUACCCCUGUGCACCCGGGCUGUCCCGGGACAUCCCGGGCUAUCCCCUUUCCCCGCUCCCCUCCGUGCGUCCGGAGCCGUCCGGGGCCGUCCCAGGUUAUUCCGGGACCGGUUCCUCCUUGCGCCGGGAGCUGUCGCGGGCCGUGCCGGACUCCCCCCGCCGGUGCCGGUGCCUGAAGAACGUGUGCGCGGGACGGCGGGGAAGGCGGGGGGCGGCAGCCGGGAGCUCUGGGCACGGGGCCGGGGCGCAGCCACCCGCCGGGCUAAUCCGGGCCGUGACGGACAGCCCCGGCGCCGCCGCUCCCGCCGCCCCGUAAGAGAUGCCGCAGCUCCGCCGCUCCCCAUUGUUAGGGCGAGGACGCGGGGAGGCCCCGCGCGGCGGGACCGGCCCACGGGGACCCUCCGCGCCGCCCCUAUAAGAGGGAAGGGGCUGGAAGAUGCUCCCGGGUGCUGA